This 429-nucleotide ribosomal RNA is filed under the name Gemmatimonadota bacterium. Its description in RNAcentral is "Gemmatimonadetes bacterium partial 16S ribosomal RNA". It matches the Rfam family "Bacterial small subunit ribosomal RNA", at positions 355 to 776 of the family's 1533-position model. Lineage: Bacteria; Pseudomonadati; Gemmatimonadota. The record is from RNAcentral.
UAGGGAAUCUUCGGCAAUGGACGAAAGUCUGACCGAGCAACGCCGCGUGAGUGAAGAAGGUUUUCGGAUCGUAAAACUCUGUUGUUAGAGAAGAACAAGGACGUUAGUAACUGAACGUCCCCUGACGGUAUCUAACCAGAAAGCCACGGCUAACUACGUGCCCGCAGCCGCGGUAAUACGUAGGUGGCAAGCGUUGUCCGGAUUUAUUGGGCGUAAAGCGAGCGCAGGCGGUUUCUUAAGUCUGAUGUGAAAGCCCCCGGCUCAACCGGGGAGGGUCAUAGGAAAAUGGAAGACAUGAGUGCAGAGGAGGAGAGUGGAAUUCAAGGUGGAGAGGUGAAAUGCGUAGAUAUAUGGAGGAACACCAGUGGCGAAGGCGGCGCUCUGGUCUGUAACUGACGCUGAGGCACGAAAGCGUGGGGAGCAAACAGG